RNAcentral lists this ribosomal RNA (535 nucleotides) under uncultured archaeon. Its description in RNAcentral is "bacterial SSU rRNA". It matches the Rfam family "Bacterial small subunit ribosomal RNA", at positions 513 to 1050 of the family's 1533-position model. The record is from RNAcentral.
AGCCGCGGUAAUACGUAGGGUGCGAGCGUUGUCCGGAAUUAUUGGGCGUAAAGGGCUCGUAGGCGGUUUGUCGCGUCGGGAGUGUAAUCCUCGUGCUUAACACGGGGCUUGCUUUCGAUACGGGCAGACUGGAGGCAUGCAGGGGAGAACGGAAUUCCUGGUGUAGCGGUGAAAUGCGCAGAUAUCAGGAGGAACACCGGUGGCGAAGGCGGUUCUCUGGGCAUGUCCUGACGCUGAGGAGCGAAAGUGUGGGGAGCGAACAGGAUUAGAUACCCUGGUAGUCCACACCGUAAACGUUGGGCGCUAGGUGUGGGAUCCAUUCCACGGGUUCCGUGCCGUAGCUAACGCAUUAAGCGCCCCGCCUGGGGAGUACGGCCGCAAGGCUAAAACUCAAAGGAAUUGACGGGGGCCCGCACAAGCGGCGGAGCAUGCGGAUUAAUUCGAUGCAACGCGAAGAACCUUACCUGGGUUUGACAUACACCCUGCCGCUCCAGAGAUGGGGUUUCUUUUGGGGGUGUACAGGUGGUGCAUGGCC